RNAcentral lists this ribosomal RNA (468 nucleotides) under uncultured bacterium. RNAcentral's name for it is "partial 16S ribosomal RNA". It matches the Rfam family "Bacterial small subunit ribosomal RNA", at positions 28 to 507 of the family's 1533-position model. The record is from RNAcentral.
GACGAACGCUGGCGGCGUGCUUAACACAUGCAAGUCGAACGGAAAGGCGCUGCGUUUGUGGGGUGCUCGAGUGGCGAACGGGUGAGUAAAACGUGAGUAACCUGCCCCUGACUGUGGGAGAACAUCAGGAAACAGGGGCGAAUACAGGAGAGGAGCUCCUGCAGCACGGGGGGGGUUGGAAAGAGUCGGCGGUUGUGGAUGGACUCGCGGCUUAUCAGCUGGAUGGGGGGGUAGUGGCUGCCCAAGCCUGUGACGGCUAGCCGGCCUGGGAGGUUGACCGGCCACCAUGCGCCUGAGAUACGGCCCAGUCUGCUACGGGCGGCAGCAGUCGGGAAUCUUGCAGAGUGGGCGGACGCCUGAUGCAGCGACGCCGCGUGCGUGAUGCCGGCCUUCGGGUUGUAAACCGCUUUCGACUGUGACGAAGCGUGAGUGACGGUAAUGGGUCAAGAAGCACCGGCUAACUACGUG